Molecule: ribosomal RNA, 440 nt
Filed under: uncultured bacterium
Lineage: Bacteria
Description: partial 16S ribosomal RNA
Rfam family: Bacterial small subunit ribosomal RNA
Source: RNAcentral
CCUACGGGAGACAGCAGUGGGGGAUAUUGCACAAUGGGGGGAACCCUGAUGCAGCGACGCCGCGUGGGUGAAGGAGUAUCUCGGUACGUAAAGCUCUAUCAGCAGGGAAGAAAAUGACGGUACCUGACUAAGAAGCCCCGGCUAAAUACGUGCCAGCAGCCGCGGUAUUACGUAGGGGGCAAGCGUUAUCCGGAUUUACUGGGUGGAAAGGGAGCGUAGACGGCAGCACAAGUCUGGAGUGAAAUCCCGGGGCUUAACCCCGGAACUGCUUUGGAAACUGUGCGGCUGGAGUGCAGGAGGGGUAAGCGGAAUUCCUAGUGUAGCGGUGAAAUGCGUAGAUAUUAGGAGGAACACCGGUGGCGAAGGCGGCUUACUGGACUGUAACUGACGUUGAGGCUCGAAAGCGUGGGGAGCAAACAGGAUUAGAUACCCUAGUAGUC